CAGCAGCCGCGGUAAUACGUAGGUGGCAAGCGUUGUCCGGAAUUAUUGGGCGUAAAGGGCUCGCAGGCGGUUUCUUAAGUCAGAUGUGAAAGCCCCCGGUUCAACCGGGGAGGGUCAUUGGAAACCGGGAAACUUGAGUGCAGAAGAGGAGAGUGGAAUUCCACGUGUAGCGGUGAAAUGCGUAGAGAUGUGGAGGAACACCAGUGGCGAAGGCGACUCUCAGGUCUGUAACUGACGCUGAGGAGCGAAAGCGUGGGGGGCGAACAGGAUUAGAUACCCCUGUAGUCCCUGUCUCUUAUAC
This 301-nucleotide ribosomal RNA is filed under the name uncultured bacterium. Its description in RNAcentral is "partial 16S ribosomal RNA". It matches the Rfam family "Bacterial small subunit ribosomal RNA", at positions 509 to 807 of the family's 1533-position model. The record is from RNAcentral.